This 2430-nucleotide long non-coding RNA is filed under the name Mus musculus (house mouse). RNAcentral describes it as "Opa interacting protein 5, opposite strand 1". Lineage: Eukaryota; Metazoa; Chordata; Mammalia; Rodentia; Muridae. The record is from RNAcentral.
UGGGUUGGCGGACAGGGGAAGGAGCGAAGAUGGCGGAGUGAGGCGUGCCCCGGGCAGCUGGCCUGCGGGCCCGGGGCAGGCCUCCCGUGAGAAGCGGAGUACUUGUGCUGGACCGUGUGAGGAACCAUAUCACACAAGAUGAAUAUUUUCCUGACCUUAGGUGCUUUUAUAUUCAGCUCAACAUUCUGAACUCAGGACUUGGCACGAAUUCCUAUGUGGACUGCUCAGUGAGGCGUCCUGGUUCUUCCAUCCUGUUACUUUCCCCAGUGAGAUGCAGAUGUCUUUCGACAGAUUACCUCCAUGGUUUAGGAUGCAGAGACUGCCUUUCUUUUACGUCAGACUCAACACAGGAAAGCCGUGAGGAUGCAGCCGUCCUGUUGACUUCAGCAAGAAAACAAACCAUGGACUUGGGUCUUCUGCAGCUUUUGAAUUGGAAAGACGGUGUUUGCAAGUAGAAGGAAGAUGCUGAAUUUGAAACAAGUGCUUAGGUUCUGUGGCGUGAGUUGUUUUCUUUUUAAAAGAUCCAAACAAGAAGACUGAACAAAUACCAAGUGUGGGUGACUUCAGGUUUUUUUUUUAAUGUCUUCCAAUUUUAACACUAUUAUAAGCACAGUUGACCGCAGGAGCUGCUCAUUAAUACAAACCAGGAAAGAAACCAUUCUGCCCAAGUACCCUCACCACCCUCCAGCUCUCAGCAGGAACUGGCCUGAGUGUCAUAAACAGGCGCCACCAUCAGUGUGAAGUUCAGUGCUGACUGAGGACCCGGCAAGGCCCUGCAGCAAGGUGGUUUUGUAGGAUACAGAAGUUCAGACUCAGGCUGUGCUGUGGCUCUGUUUACAACUGCAGAGCUGGAGUUGUUCUUCAGAUGAGUCGGUCAAAAUGUGUCACUUGCCUGAAACUUGAUUCCUGAGGAACAGGAGAAAACUUUCUUCUUCCAAAAAAUAUAUUUAUUUGGAUAAAUGAAUAUUGGUUUGUUAUAAUAGUGAAAGGAACAGAAGUGUAAUCUACUGGCAGAACAUUUACCUGAGAAAAUGGGUUUAAUUGCAGCACUACCAAAAAAAACCUCAUGGUGGUAACAUAAGAAUUUCUUGACUUUGAAAUGCAAGUUACAAAAUGAUUUUGACAAAUGAGAAGUAUUUAUAAUGUCUGAAAGGCCUAAAUAGAUUUCAAAUAAAACUGUUUCACUGGAUUCAGUCCAAUUUACCUGUUAUAUGAUGGAAAACUAGUUCCAAAUUUAACUUUCACCGUGGUCCUUUGCUAUGGAUGUCAACUGGAAUGGUGACUCCUAACCUUCAGAACUGAACUAAAGUUGUCAGUGUGAUGGUUGCUUUCCACUGAAACACAGGAAUCAAAGUAUGUGUUGUAUCCCAAAUAGAAGUGUUCUUUGCCACUUACUAAUAAAGAUGUAAGGUCAGAGUUCUUCCUUCUAGCAUUCUCUUCCUAAUAGUCACCAAAGUCAAAGCAUCAAACGGCAAGACUUGGUGUGUAUUUGGUAGACUCAGGCUUUAUAAGAUACCUUUAAAGGGGCUUGAGAGAUGGCUCAGCAAUUUAGAGUACUGGCUGCUCUUCCAAAGGCCCUGAGUUCAAAUCCCAGCAACCAGAUGGUGGCUCACAACCACCCAUAAUGAGAUCUGACGCCCUCUUCUGGUGUGUCUGAAGACAGCAAAAGCGUACUUAUUUUAUUUAUAAUAAUAAAUAAAUCUUUGGGCCAAAGGGAGCAGGGACUGAACGAGUGGGGCCAGCCAGAGCAAGUGGGGUUAACCAGAGCAAGCAGAGGACCUAAAAUUCAAUUCCCAACAACCACAUGAAGGCUCACAACCAUCUGUUCAGUUACAGUGUACUCAUAUGUAUAAAAUAAAUAAAUCUUUUUUAAAAAAGAUACUUUUAAAGGCAGAAUACAGUUAGGAUUAAUGGUGAUUUUCCAAACAUUUUGACAUCUUUGGUAAUGGUAUGCUGUAUCCUUAAUUUAAAUGUUCUUUUGUGCUUGGAACAUAGCUCUUGGAGAACACUUGGACUCAGGCCAGUCCUCAACACUUGACACCCUAUCCCAAAGAUCAGACAAGAAUUGUGUCAGUGUGUUAUCAGUCUAUAAACAACAUUACUAGUCUGAGCCUAAGCAUCCCUGUAAUGACAAAGAUUAAGAGCGGUAAUCGACUUGAGAGUGGUGCAUUUUCUGCCCUUCAAGCAUAGGUGUCACUGUUCGCUUGCCCUUCCUUGUAUCUUGUAUUGCGCCACCAGUGUAUGAGGUGAUGUUAAAGAGCACCAGUGAAUGUUUAAAGCACUCUAAAAGGCAGCUUCUUAAUCUAUGCAUCUUUGGGAGUUUUGAAGAAAUUUGACUUCUUGGGAAAGGAACUGUUUUUUGAGAGUCUGAAACUGCACCUGUAUGUAUAUAUUUUUAGCAAUAAAGCAUGAGCAGAGAAUGCACUGAAA